This 565-nucleotide ribosomal RNA is filed under the name uncultured Glomeromycotina. RNAcentral's name for it is "SSU rRNA". It matches the Rfam family "Eukaryotic small subunit ribosomal RNA", at positions 548 to 1114 of the family's 1831-position model. Lineage: Eukaryota; Fungi; Glomeromycota. The record is from RNAcentral.
UUGGAGGGCAAGUCUGGUGCCAGCAGCCGCGGUAAUUCCAGCUCCAAUAGCGUAUAUUAAAGUUGUUGCAGUUAAAAAGCUCGUAGUUGAAUUUCGGGGUCAGUAGGUUGGUCAUGCCACUGGUAUGUACUGGUCUCACUGAUUCCUCCUUCCUGAUGGGCCGUAAUGCCAUUAAUUUGGUGUUGCGAGGAAUCUGGACUGUUACUUUGAAAAAAUUAGAGUGUUUAAAGCAGGCUAACGCUUGAAUACAUUAGCAUGGAAUAAUGAAAUAGGACGUUCGAUCUUAUUUUGUUGGUUUCUAAGAUUGACGUAAUGAUUAAUAGGGAUAGUUGGGGGCAUUAGUAUUCAAUUGUCAGAGGUGAAAUUCUUGGAUUUAUUGAAGACUAACUACUGCGAAAGCAUUUGCCAAGGAUGUUUUCAUUAAUCAAGAACGAAAGUUAGGGGAUCGAAGACGAUCAGAUACCGUCGUAGUCUUAACCAUAAACUAUGCCGACUAGGGAUCGGAUGAUGUUAAUUUUUUAAUGACUCAUUCGGCGCCUUACGGGAAACCAAAGUGUUUGGGUUC